GUCUCACUCUGUCACCCAGGCUGGAGUGGCGUGAUCUCAAUAUUGGCUCACAGCAGCCUCGACCUCCCAGGCUCAAGCGAUUCUCCUGCCUCAGCCCCCCAAGAAGCUUGGACUACAGGUCGCGCUAUUUCUAUCACAUCUGCCGUUCCUUCCUCCACCAAAGUCCUGAAUCCCUCAAAGUCAUCUAUAAGGAAGAAGAAUCAGCUUCUUCCAAACUCCUGCUAAUGUUGAUAUUUUGACCUCCUCCAAUGACUCAUAAGCGUUUUUAAUGGCAU
This 275-nucleotide long non-coding RNA is filed under the name Pan troglodytes (chimpanzee). RNAcentral describes it as "long non-coding RNA NONPTRT003615". The record is from RNAcentral. Lineage: Eukaryota; Metazoa; Chordata; Mammalia; Primates; Hominidae.